CAAUUUUCUUCUCCUUUUAACAGACUUGAAAUCAGGUGUUGAAAUUCUGUAAAGGGUGUGUGGGAGGCAUGCUAAGCCAGAGGGUGUGUGCUCUCUUGUCUCCACUCUGGGGGACGGCCGGCUGGCCGUGCAUCAUUUUUUUACAGCUGUAUUUGCACAGUUGGGGAAGUAACAGUGUCAUCUUGAAACGGCAGAUACGAUGAUGUACGUGUUUGGGGGCAUCGAUAGAGCACAGUGAAUCAUGCAGUCUGCGAGUCAGCCACUCUAUAAGUCAAUCCACGGUGCCCACCAAAAGCUCCAUAGGAGCUAUGUUCAGAGGAGGCUUCCGUAUCAAAUCCCUCUGCUGCUAUGCAGAGGCAUGGGUAGCCAACAGAAAUCUUCAAGAUUGAAUUUUUGAAAGCAUUUUGUCUGCAGUGUGACAUGUUUGGAAGAAAAGGGCUGUGUUAAAUCUCGAAAGCUCCUCGCUUGUGGGGAAUUGGAAGAAAAGUCCAUAAUUAUCACACUCUGGACUCCCCAUGUACCUGUGAAUUGGGAAUUCUGGUCUUUCAGAGGGGCUAAUGGAAUGUCUACUCUUGAACGCUGAUCCUGCCUGGGCCUAUUAUUGGAGAAACAGAAACAGAAGAUUCUGGAAGCAGAUGACAGCAAACAAAACCCACGGGCACCUAGGGGAACACGGUCACCUGCCUGCUCCAGCUGAGAUAAGAGCGCGACCUCAGAGGAAUAAUACACUUGACCUCCCUUCAUCUACUGUCUUUGAAGCCAUGUUGGUUAAGGAAUAAGCCUAUGGCAUAUUGGGUUCGGGGACUCGGUUUAAAGCCCUUGGGUAUUUUACCCGUGUCCUUGAGGAUCCUAUUCACACCCUCUGAGACUUCAUACUUUCAUCUGUGAAAUGACUUUGACAGGGUCUUUAGCCUAGACUGGCUUUGAACUCACUGUGGAGCCAAGGAUGAACUUUACCUCCCAGGAGCUGGAAUUACAAGUACUGGCCACCACCUGGAGAUGGAACCAGAAGGUCACGCAUGCCAAGUAAGCACUUUACCGAUGGGACCACACACCACAGCCUCUCCAGGCUUGUCUUGGAAUGCUAUAUUCCAAGCAGCUUGUUUUCGUGUGUCUGAAAAUGUUUUUGGAUUUGAGAAAAACAUAUACAGGAACAGGAAUGACCUCAGAACCUGCUCCUUGCAAACAGACCUCCAGUCUCCCUGCUUAGUGCACAUGGAUUUUCCAUCUUUCUCAACCUGCAGCCUCUCACCCCAGCCAUAGUGUCCCGUCCCCCCCCCCCCCCACCUCCACCACUCCCCGGCCCACACACUGCCCUCUCCAUACACUACAGACUCACCAACCUCUCUGAAACACAGCUCUGAUAACGUAAGGCCUUUGGUAAACCCCUAUGAUAUCCACCUUCAGGAGAAAGAUAAAAGUCUUUAGCUUGGCUCCAAGGCCCUUUGUCCUGUAUCCACUAGCAUCCCUUUCACGGUCCACGGCCAGAUUCCAAGCAAUCCAAACUGUUUUUGCUAGGUUCUUCGUGCACUUGCUGCCUCCAAAGCCUCAGCUCAGACUAAGCUUUCACCGGGCAUAACUCCUCAAUUCUGAAAAUAGCUCCAUCCCACUCUCAGCAGCUAGGCACACUUUUUCAUGGAGUCCUUCCUUUUGAUCUGAUGGCCAGUUGAGUCACCCAAUGCCUACUGCACUUUUUUUUUCUUUCUGGGGCCUGACUAUGCUUCAUUUUCCUUUUCCUCAUUCAUAAUUUUAAGAAAUUAGUCUUUUGGGUUAGCAUACAGUGGAAUGGGUGUCACCAUAGCCUCUUCAGACAUAUGUGUGACAUCGUGCUCUCUUCUCAUCCAUUCCAUUCCCCAAUGCUCCCCCUGGUAGUUCCUGUUCCCAGGAAAUCCCUCCCUUACCCCUUUUUAGAACAGGCAUUCUAUUAUCUCUCCAUUGCCCACCUUCCAUGAUCUCCUUUCUAGUUUUGUGACCUCUACAUAUGUACACGAUGAUCUUAAAUGUAAGCUCCUGCAGUGAGAGAAUAUACUUUGUUUUUGUCUUUUGGAGUCUGGCUUAUGCUGCUUAACAUAAUGAUUUCUAGUUCCAUUCAUUUUCCUGCAAACGUUAUAUUUCAUUUCUCUUCCAGGCUGCACAAAAUUCCAUUGGGUAUUUUCUUUAUCCAUUCAUCUGUUGCUGGACAUCUUAGGUCUCAUCUCAAACGUCACCCUCUUGGAGGAAGCUUUCCUGAUGUGCCUUCUAAGGGACACCUCUCUCUUCUCCUACUGUACUUCUUACACCAUUUGCAUAACAGUCUCAUUAACCAAAAUCAUCUACUGUGAUCACUUUAUUGUCUAACUCUUUCUAAUUAAAGGUAAGCUUCACAAGUGAGGACAUACUCAAAAACAUCUUGCAAUGAAACAAGGAGAUAAGCACAAGAACCAGAGUAUUGUGUAGUCUUAAAACACUUGCCCUCAUAAAACAGGUUAAUUAUAAAAAAGGAAAACAGGAACUUUGCCCCAGAAGAGAAAUCUAUCAAACCAUUACUUUGUCAGACAUUCGCUUCACCAAAAACAGCCUAGGGCUGGUAACAUCCUUAGUAAUCAUACAUCUUGACACCAGAUAUCAUCUUGAUCUGUUGCGCUGAGACAGUAUCACUUCUGUGGUCUUCUCCCAACUGCAUAGGACCUCAGUCUAACAAGGAGAGCAUUUUAGAUAAACCCAAAUUAGACCCCAAAGACAUGGCAGCUCUGACCCCAGCAAGGACUGAGAUUAUUUGUCUUUCUUUUGCCAAAAACCUAGCACUCAUGACAGAUUCUAAAUCUUUGAUUGAGUUUAAUAUGAUUAAAGUAGCUCCUAAUUUGAAUUAAACACACUGGCUGUGUUAACACAUGUAGUGCCCCUCCAAAGAGGAUUAUCCAGUUUCCGGUGGGCAGGUUACCAACACUGGCUACUGACCAGAACUGGCACAAUGUAAGGGCUUGCUGAAGUGGGUCUCAAGACUGGGGAAAUUGGAGCAAGUUUAGUUCACAGAAACAAGAGUCUACUCUAGGCGACCAAGGGAAGUGGAUUGUUUUCAACACCAAUAUCUAUAAAAUCAUGCUGUUUUGUCCUCCAAAUACUAGGACUCAAGAAAAGCUCAAGCUUUGACUGUCUCUCCAGUGUGGAACAGGAAGUUUCAUUUGUAAAUAUUAUUUUAAUGCUGUAUAUCAAGCAGUCCAGUGUGUGACCAUUUUCUGAUAUAUACUUUAGUUAUUUACAAUAAAAACUACAUAAGGUUAGGUCAACACAUACGUUAUAGAUGAGGAAAGUAAGGCUGAGGGAAGUCAAAACACUGGUCCUAAUUUAUACAGCACUAAAGACACAAAGGAAGAAACUCAAACUAUGCUGCCGAUCAUCCAAAGUGCUUGACAAGGGGCCUCCAUAGUGACUGAUCUAACCCUGUACUUCUUUGAUGCAUCUUGAAUGUUGCAAAGAGACAUUUGCAAGAGACAUUGGCUAGACUUGUCCCUGGUUGUGGUCACGAUCUUGUCUGAUAGGAGCUGAAGCCAGUGACUGGCUAGAGCAGGGUGGGAAAGGCUCGAGGGGCACGGUCAUCGGAGCAGGGCCCUAUCCUGUCUCACACACGAUUUUGGGUGUGGGGUCAGUCAGGGCAUCUGCCCUUUUCUGAGUCUUAGCUGUGUGAUCUGCCAGAUGCUGCAGACAUAAAGCCCUUCUGAUAUUCCAGCAAUGUUCUAAGUUGGGUGUUAAGCCUAGCCUCCUCUUUGGAGAGUCGAGUCCUGUUAUCUUAUUUGCCAUGGACAGAUAUGGAUUAUUUUGUCUGAAACAUGUGCCAUGCUAAUUAGAUCAGCUUGCUAGCCCUCCCUCUUUCUUGCUCUCUUCUCUUUCAUUGCUUCUAUUUCUGUCCCUGAUUCUCUUUCACUUCCAUGCUCCAAAUAAGACUGUUGUGUUAGCUCUACAAUCAAAACAAUCUAAUUCACGGUACAAGUGAACAUGCACAACGUCCCUAGGGAGGACCUUGGUACAGAUACAAGAAAGAAAAGCUCAAAAACACUCAACUGACCAAGAGAAGUCAGAGAAACUGGAAUACAAAAAUUUUCUAUUGAUAAAUGUAGAAUGUAGAGUUCUCAAUUUUGCUCUUGGCCAGGCAAUGAUUUGGUAAGGAUGGCUUCUCUCCAUCCUUGGGGGUUGGGGGUGCAGACCUUAGAAAUGAGAACUGUCUUGAUUGUUAUUUUCUUAAAGAGGUUUUCUCCUAGGUGAUUUUUCCAGAAUCCUGAAUCCCUUGAAGUGUAGUGGUGCAAGGAACCACCUUGACAUCGGGUACCAUCUUGACCUGCUGCACUGAGACAAUCUCACUUCUGUGGUCUUGUCCCAGUUGCAUAGGACCAAGAGCUCUUGAUUAGAACUGAGCCUCUUCUGGUUGUCAACAGACUGGUGUCAGAUGUUGCCCAUUGCCAUAGUUACUUGACCAAAAAGGCUUGACCUUCAUGGGACUGGCCUGCGGGCAUGUCUGUGGGGCAGUUUCUUGGUUGAUAUAGGAGGGCACACCCAGUAAGAACUCCUCCUCCAUGGUCUCUGCUUUACUUCCCGCCUCCAGGUUUCUGCCUUGAGCUUCUGCCCUGCUUUCCUUCAGUGAUGGCCUGGGAUGUGGAAGUGUAAGAUAAAAUAAACCUUUUCCUUCUCCAUGUUGCUGUCGGUCAGUGUCCUUUCACAGCAAUAUAGAAACAAACUAGAACAGCAGUUGGUACCAGGAGUGAGGUAUUGCUGUGACAGGCUUGAUCAUGUUUGGGGGAAGACUGUGGAAGGGUUUGGAGCUCUGAGCUGGAAAACUCACUGGAUGCUCCUUGCUUAAUGAAAUGUUCUGGGAACUUAGAAGAUAGUGCUGAAAAAUGUACACAAUGGGGGCCUGGCUUUUGAAAUUUCAGAUUGAAGUUUGAGAGUCCCUCAAAGUCUGCAAUGUAGCUGGAAGUUUUCCUGUGUCCUGCCUGGUCCUGUGGCUGCUCAGACCCAAGUAAACACACAGAUGCAUAUAUCAAUUACGAAUUGCAUGGCCAUGGCCUAUAGCUCAAUUUUCUUGCUAGCUAGCUCUUAUAACUAAACUCAGCCCGUUUCUACUAAUCUAUAUGUCACCAUGUGAUCCGUGGUUUUACCUGUGUGCCAUUCCAUGCUGUUCCCUGUAUGGUGGGAUGGCAUCUCCUCUACCUCCCCUUUCUUCUUCCUGUCUCUCUCCUGGAUUUCCUGCCUGCCUCUAAGCUGCCUUGCCGUAGGCCAGACAGCUUUAUUUAUCAAACGAUCAGAGCAACACAUAUUCACAUCAUACAGAAAGACAUUCCCACAGCACCCCAUCAUGACUGUGUGAUACUUUGAAUGAAGAAUCUGUGGUUUCUGGUGAGCAGAGGCUGAAGGAUCAGCCAUGAUUAACAAGAGGCCAGCACUACUCUAGCUCUUUCUUUACUGGGACAAUCAAUGCUGGUUAUCGCGGUGGAAAAAAAAUCUGCUUUGAAUAACAGGAGCUCAUCAUCAUUGAAAUGAACUCUUACAGGAAGUAUUUCCUCAAAGGUCAGCACACAGAAAAUGUGGUCUGGAGGGGGUUAAAGUUGAACAUCAAGAUGGCAGCAACAUUUGGUAAUACGUAAGAAUUUCUUACAUGGUACUAGUUUUGAAGACACGAUAGGCUCAUGAAUAGCAGCGGAGCCUUGGCACUGUGAGAUGUCGGGGAUGUCAGGAGUAGCUGUGAAGGUGCAAUCUCACUUGCUGUGGAGACCUCCAGCAUACUGGAGAUGCCAGCACCGUAGGAUGACUGCCAGGGACAAAGGAAUCUAUGAAAUGGAGGUAGUCUGCGCUUUCAGACAAGCGGUGUGUGCUGUAGACAGCAGAGCAGGAGAAGGGGAGAUACCCAAGAUGUUCGAGGCCCAGAAGAUUGUGACUGAGUCCCAGAUGUCAGACACUGAGCCACAGUAUUUUAGUUACAAUGCUAGACUUUGGUUUUGCUUAAGUGUCAUUGUUUUUAUGCCCUGGAUCUUCCCUCUAGGAGUAAUAAACCAUUUCACUUAAAAAAAAAAUAAUUUUACAGGAUCUUACAGUUAAAAGACUUAUUUUAAAGAAAGAUUGAAAAUUUAAGUCAUGGCAGUUUUAAAGACUUUGGGGCUUUUAAAGCUAUGUUGCAUUUUAUAUUAUGAUAUAAAUACAAGAUCUUGAGGAAACACAUGAUAGGAAAGGUUAUGUUUUAAAGUAUUGUGUUUGUGGGUCAGCAUUGACAAAGGGUAGAAUAUCACAGUCAGCGUCAGGUGUCAACAUAAUACACCUAGGAAGAGCAAAUCUCAACUGAGGAGUUACUUCCAUGGGAUUGGCCCAUGGGCAUGUCUGUGUGACUGCUGAUUGAUGUAGAAGGACCCAGGCCACUGUGAGUAGUACCAUCCCUAGGUAAGUGGGCCUGGGCUUUACGUAAAAAGCAGCUGAAUGAGACCCAGAAAUGAAGCCACUGAACAAAAUUCAUCCAUAGUAUGUGUGCUCCAGUUUCUGCUUCAAGGUUCCUGCCUUGAGCUCUUGGGUUUUCUUUCUCCAAUGAUAGACUGUGGCACAGAAGGGCAAGAAUAAAUAGACCCAUUCUUUCCCCAUGUUGUUUGGUCAGUGCUCUAUUACAUGAGUAGAGAAGCAAGCUAGAACCCAUUAUAUUUUUAAAUUCCAGAUUCCUUACUUGUAAAAGGGAAUACCAAUAUACACCUAUUAAGAUAGAUAGUAUACAGCAACAGCAUCAAGAAAAUAGUAAAUGUUGACAGGGCGUAGAAAAAUUGGAGCCUUCAUGCAUAUGCUGGUAUGAAUGCAAAGUGGUGCUGUAGGAAAUUCUGUAAACUUCACAAAUGUUGAAAGUAUAAUUGCCAUGUGACCCAGCAACUCCAUGACUAGGGAUAUAUUCAAGAGAACUGAGAAUAAAGAUUCAGAUAUUUGCACACCUCUAUUCAUAUCAGCAUUAUUACAAGUCAUGAAAACAACUCACAUCUACUGACAGUUGAAUAGAUAAAUGAAAUGUGAUACAUUUGAAAAUAUUACAUGAUUUGGCUUUGAAAGAAGAAAGACAUUCUGACUUGUAAUCCAACACUGAUGAACAACGAAGAUAGGACGCUAAGUGAAAUAAGCUAGUUACAGAAAGACAAAUAGUACUGAAAUAUAAGGUUCUUAUUACAUGGGAUACCUGAGUAAUGUAAAGUGAUGGGGACAGGAAGUGGAAUAGGAGCAGCAAGGGCUGGAGGAGGAUAAGGAGCUAGGGUUUGCCCAGAGCAGAAUUCAGAUUUCACAAGAUGAAAGGAGUCUAGGAAGAGAUGCUAGUUACGGUUGCUCAAUAAGUCAAAUGUACUUAAUUCCACCAAACUGUGUAUUUCCAAUGACUAAACUAUGAAAUUUUAACCACAAUACAAAUGGGGUUAUUUCGAGAUGAAGCUGGGUGUCACAUCUAAGAUAUUUGGAAGAAUGUCCAUCACGCAGUACUUGCUCUGUACAUAUUGGCCUCCUACUCUUCCAAACAGAUAACUUAUCAUCUUCUUUUUUGCCUUCUUAAGAGAUUAGGAUUAAAUAGUGGCCACACACAUGGAGCCAUAAAGAAUAACAGUUCUCCACUAAGAUGACCUCACUGACAAGUGGGAGCUCCUAAUUUCAGGUCGUCCUGGAGACCCUGCUUUCUUCCAUCAUAUUUUUAAAGAACAGUCAAUUUUUGGAGGUAAACUAAAAACAUUCCAAUAAAGAAUCAACAUACAUUUCUCUUCAGCUGAAAACAAGAUGGGAGAAAGUUUCUGGUUUGAAAGUUUAAGGUAAGUAACUGUGAUGGCUAGUUUUGAUUGUCCACUUGAUUGCAUUCAGGAACACUGCAUGCAUCAUAGCUCUUGUGGUGAGUCCAUGGGGGCAUAUUCGGAGACAAUCAGCUUGUGGGGGCUCUGGUUCAGCAGAUUAAUCUCUUGGUAGAUUCAUAGUGGAAUGCUGUGGUGGUUAGUUUUGUCAACUUGACAUGACCUAGAAUCACCUGGAAAGAGAACCUCGGUGAGGAAUUGCCCAUAUCAUGUUGGCCCGUGGGCAUAUUUGUGGGAGAUUGUCUUAAAUUACUUGAUAUGAAAAGACCUAGCUCACUACAGGCAACACAAUUCCCUAGGCAGCAAUUCCUGACUGUGGAAGAGUGGAGAACAUAAGCAACAAAGUGAACAUUCACUCAUUAAUUUCUCUUUGAUCUUGACUACGGCUGUGAUGUAACUAGCUGUUUGAAGUUCCCAUCUUGACUUCCUUACAAUGAUGGACUGUGACCUGGAAUUGUAAGCUCUAAGUUGCUGGUGUACAGGGUAUCUUUUAUCAUAGCAACAUGCACAAGACUAGAAAAGAAAUUGGUAUGGAGGAAGCGGGGUUGUUGCUGUGAUAAACUUGACAGUGUGGCUUUUAUGUCUUUGGACUAUUUUUUUUUUUUUUUGGAAUCAUUUGGAAGGUGGGCUUGGAAAAGCCAUCGGAUGUCUGAAGCAGAGCUAAUGGGCUGUUUCAGUAGGAGCUUGGGAGAUAAGAAUGCUGAUAAGAAACAUGGAUGGUUGAGGCCCCAUUCACAAGGUUUUAGAGAUAAACAACGCCACCAGGAAUAGGCAUCAGGUAGGUGGUGAAAUAUAAGCUACAUAGAGCAAGUAGGUCACUAGUGUUAGUUCCUUGGGGGCUAUAUUGUAUCUGGCUCCUUCGUGUAUUCUUUCUCUGUUUCCUGGCCUGUGAUAAUGUGAGCUUGAAUGAAUUCUCCAAACUGUGAGGCAAAAUAAAUCUUUCAUCUACUGUUUCUCUUAGCAUAUUAUUUCACAGCAUGUAUACCACAUACACACAUAGUCUUUAGCCCAACAGACAUGUGAAUAUGAGGCUUGAUUAAUGUAUUAGAGCUAUAGUCUUGGUCACCUGGCUAAAUAUUGUUUCUACCACAUCUGGCUACCUAUGCCCAACUGACCUUCAGAAGCAAGACUGAAGGGUAUACUAGAGGAAUAAGGAGGAGGAGUUCUGUUAAUGACGGGAAAUAGGCUUCCAUAGAAGAGUCCCAGAAUGCUUUUACAAAUCCCUUUUCAGUGUAUUAGCAGCCUCUGCAUAUAGACAGCCUGCAAAUAUCAGGGCAAGCUAUUCCAAAGCGCCCAAUUUGUUGGUUAUAUUUUUGUCAAUUUGACAUAAGCUAGGGUCAUCUGGGAAGAGGGAAUCUCAGUUAAGAAAAUGCCUCCCUCAUAUUUACCUGUAAGCAAGUCUAUAAGUCAUUUUAUUGAUUAAUGUGCAACGUGGGAAAGCCUAGCUCACCACGGGCAUUACCACCCAUGGGUUGGGCAAGUGAUCCAAGGUUGUGUAAGGCAGGCUAAGGAAGCUACUGAGAGCAAGCCAGUAAACAGCGUUCUCCCAUGGCCUCUGCUUCAGUUUCUGCCUUUAGGAUCUUCCCUCGGGUCCCUGCUCUGUCUUCCCCCAGUGAUGGGCUGUGUAGGAAGUGUAAGAUGAAACAAACCCUUUCCUCCUCAAGUUGCUUUUGGUCAUGGUGUUUGUCAGAGGAACAGAAAGCAAAGUAGGACUCAAGGUGAAACCCUUAUCCCGACUCACCCCCGGUCUAGUCAGCCUGGGACCACAUCACUUUUCCAUGUCCCUUUUUCAGAUGGAAAAUCUUUUUAAAAAUCAUGGAAUAGGAAGGUUGUGUUUAAAUAACUGCUUCAAACCUACUAUAUCUGAGUAUGGAAGGAAAUAAACGUAAAAGUGGGUGAAUUAUUGAUGACCUGCUGUGUAUUAGACACUAAGAGCUUUGGACACAUUAUUUCAUUCAUCCUCCAAUCAUAAUUCUUUGAAGUUGGUUUUAUAAUUCCAAUUUUACAGAUAGGACACAGAAUCUAAGAUUAAUGAGGGCCUGACCAAUAUAAAAUAAAAAUUCAUACACUUUCUCCCUGCCCAACCAGAACCUCCCAGCUUCUCUAAGGUAUUUUUUUUUUAAACACUAUAAGAAGUUUAGGAAGGUCUCAUAUGUUGCUCUCACCAAAAGUCUGUGUACAAACCCAGCAGUAUGCUUAGCUUAUAGGAAAUUUAUUUUAACCCACAUUGACUAUUGGUUCCCACAAUGUUUACAUACACGUGCGCACACAGUGUGGAUUACGUCUGAGUAUUUAUGUAUAUAUUUGCAUUUGAUAAUCAUUUGAGGUCCAGUUAUAUAACUUAGGAAACAGCCUGGUAAGAUCAUCAAUAACUUGAUUUAUUCGGCUGAAAAUAGAGCAGGCAAACAUCUGCUCAAUCACUCCCAGUACUUGGCUUCACACAUGCUCUGCUGUUACGUUACAUGGAAAUUUUAAGUAUUCUGUUAAGGGUUGGAGUCAUUUGUCAUCUGUCCUUCCCAACAUGCUGGGAUAAGGAGAACCACUAAUCAUUACCCCUUGAAUUUGCUGUUUUUCUUCUCAGGAACUCUAUAUCCUGUAUAGAUACUGCAUCAAUCUUGCAAAUGCCUUUGAAACAAUCUUGAGGCAUGAAAUUUUCCUUGACCUACAGAACGCAUUGGAAAUAGCAUACUGUUCCCCGUGGAUUGAACUGGGAGACUUCAGUGGUGUCUAUUGCAAGCAGACGUGGGUAAUAGUGACUUCAUUUCACAGAUAGUGACCAGACAACUGAACCAUAGCUGAAGCAUCCAUUAAGGUCUGGGUCUCCUGGUGCUGGAGAAAAUUGUCAAUAAUAAUAAAAGUUGCCAACAGUACUGACUGCUUACAUUGUAGGAGAGGCUGUGCUAAACUGAAGGCACAGUUACUACUCAGCCAUCUUUUUUGUAUUAGUAUCUCCCCCUCUCAAGAAAUAAAAUAUCCACUGUAGAUGCUCAUUACCCCAGAAUAUCUGGUUCCACCUCACUGAACUAUCCCCAGUCAUGCGAGACUAUGGUUUUCCAUUUUGAUGGGUAGGAGAGUCACUUGGAAAAUGUCUCAAAAUGUAAGUUCUUGGAACUCACCAUAAUUUCUCUUUUGAGAAGUGUGAACUUAUGUCUAAAAUCAUGAGUAUUUUUGGACCCCCCCCCAAAGGAUGCUUGUGAGGUUAGAUUUUAAUUAUCACAGAUACAGAACACCAAAUGCCAUCAUUUUUGAGAAAUUAUUUUAUUAUUUUUUAAUUAUAUGUAUGUGUCUGUAUGGGAGAGGUAUGUACACAUAAGUGCAGGUGUUCUCAGAAGUCAGAGGUGUCAGUACCCCUGGAGCUGGAAUUAUAGCCAUGAAGAGCAAGACAGUAAGCAGUGCUCCUCUGUGGUCUCUGCUUGAGUUCCUGCCUCCAUGUUCCUGCCCUACCUGAGUUCCCGCUCUGGUUUCCAUCAUGAAGCUGGAAGAAGAUAGCCUCAAAAAGUUAUGUGACCUGCUCAAAAUCUUCCAGCAAGUAAGAUGGGUCCUGGAUUUGAACUAAGAUUGGAUGACUCCAUAUGUUGAACCCCACCAUCUACAAGUAAGGGCUGUAGUGACUACCCUGCUUUAGAGCUGGAUGGAUCCUAUGAGAAGUUCCCGCUUCUAACAGAAUUGAAACAAAACAAAGCGGUAACCAUGUUACUGCUGAGGUCCCACCCCCAUCUGGCUUCGAGGUCCAGUCCUAAUGAGGCCUGAGGGGGUAGAAAUGAGCCUGUGGAAUUCUCCUAAGGAAGCCACUCUUGCUGCCCAUCUGAGCGAAGGGGCAGACAGCUGGUCAACAAGAUGGAUGGCUGGGUGUCGUGUAUACUGCUGACAGUUUUCCUGAAGUCGAACUGGAAUGGCUGAGGGAAUCACUCAGCCAUGGCGACAGGCGGGAAACAAGCAGAGAACUCCAGCAACACCAGGAUGCAGUGGUCCAAAGUGAGCCCCGAAGCAAUGGAUUUAUCCAGAACUGCAUAGAUGCUAGCCGCCAAGGACAGAGGCAGUGCAAGGGAGAUGUGUGCUUAUGGUGGGCAACUGAUUAGCAAGAAGGAAGAAUGGAAGUAGAGCCCUCAGAGAAUUGUCUUCAGAUGUGUAACCUGCCUGUCUCGUUACUUAAUAGUGACCCAAGACAGGCUUCUUAAGUGACUACAUCCACAUUUUUCGGACUACAUUUUGCACUUACCAUUUUAUUAUUAAGCUCACCUUAUGGAAUAGGUAUACAGUGAUUAUUAUUCACAUUUUGAAGACGAAGAAACUGAGACACAAAUGCCAUGAGUCAGGGGCCUGAUACACUGGUUCAUGGAAUAUAUACCCAGGGGAUUAUUGUCUACUUGUCACUCCUCCUCCUCCUCCUUUUCCUUCUUUGGUUUGGAGGGGGCAGGGAUCUGGUCUAUAGCACAAGGGGGCUUGGAACUCACUGAACAGUCCAGGGUGGCCCCUAAUUUCUGCCCAUCCAUCCAUCCUCCUGUCUCAGCCCCUGGAUGCUGGGACCAUAGGCAUGGAGUUCGUGAGGCUACUGUGUUUCAGGAUAUGCAUUUGAUUGUGACUGAAGCGUAGUGGAGAUGGGGAGGCAUGGCCUCUUCUCUCAUAGUUCACAGAUGAUGUGGAUAUGGUAAUAAUCUUUGCAAACUUCCCAAAAGGGGAAUGGGGGCCUGGUUGAUGGACAAUGGCACAUGGUGGCCUCAGGACUAAUGUUACUUAGAAAAAGCUUUGGAAAGAGGUGACACUUCCAUUAGAGAAUUUUUUUUUUCUAGCAAAAAAAACCAGUAGUUUAAGAAAAUGUUCUAAGCUGGGUGUCAUGGCACACAUCUUUAAUUCCAGAUCUCGGGAGGCAGAGACAGGGGGAUCUCUGUGAGAUUGAGGCCAGUCUGGUCUACAGAGUGAGUUUCAGGACAGCCAUGGCUACACAGAGAGACGCUGUCUCAAGAAGUUCUAAGGCACAGUCAUAAACUAAGUUGGGUCUUUAGAGGGGUUCAGCCAAGUGCCAGGAACUGCAUUGGCUGCUGACAAUCCUGGGGGUGUGAUGAGAUAGAUAAGAUUCUUGCUUGCAUGAAGCUCCUUUGUAUCAAGGGGGUUCAGACAGUAAACACGGAACCAAGUAUUCAUUAAUUACAGACUGCUAGUAGUGCUAAAGGGAACCAAAUGAAAUGCUGAGGCAGAAAAAACCAGACCCAGCAAGCAUUCCCAAGGUGGUGAUCUUUCUUAGCUGAGAUCCAAGUGAGGUACGACGGAUGUCAGCAUAAGGCUCCAUGUUGGGGGAACAGUAAGUACAUAAGGCCCGUGGCUUAAAGAAAGGAAGCUAGAAAGUGGAGGCAAGUGUCACAAGUGAGGAGCUGGGCAAGCAAAGCCAGGCCCUUCAGGGCCUUCGGCUAAGAUUUUAUUCUAAGACAAAAGGAAAAUCACCCAAAAGUUUGAUAGUAAAGCGGUAUACUGACCUAUCAAUGGCCCAACCAUUUGCACCUCCCUAAUAAGAGCCUUUUUGUCCUUCAUAUCCUAACAGAGCAGGACUCCUGGGUUGUCAGCAGGCCACAGGCAGCCUGGGCUCUCUGCUCCGUUCAAGGCCGUCACCUCUGUGGAACAUUGAGGUCACCCUGGCUGUUGCUCUCUGGCCCCAUGCUCCCUGCCUGCAUUCUGGUCCUGGCUGUCAGAAUGACUAUCUACGAUGCUAGCCUAGCAUAUUAUUGGGUUUAUCACCAUUUUGUGGCUCCCUACAUCCCAGGGGACCAAACCCAUCCUUGCUGAUGAGCCUGAAGGCCUGCCUGGUUUCUCUCUGCGUCCCCAUGCUUAGCCGCCUCCUACAUCACUUGACCAUCAUACAAGGCUGUGAUUUACCCCAUCCCCUCUUUUGUUCCGUCCUUUCCAAAGUAUAUAUUUACCAUUUACUUACUAUACUAGCUGCUUUUCUUAUCACUAUAUAUAAAAAAAAUCAGAGAGAAACACAGCAAGAAUUACUGCUUUGGGCUCACAAGUUGUUUGGCCCCAUGUACUUGAGCAAAUCAUGAAGACAGCAGGAGUAUGUGGUAAGGGAGCUUCCUCACUUCCUGUCAGACAGGAAGUGGGGAGGGGAAGCCAUAGACAAGAUACCUGCAAAGACCUACCUGUUGGUGAUCUACUUUCCCUAGCUAGGCCACACCUCUUAUAGCUUCCAGAACCUCCCAACAUAAUACAACACCAUCGGCUGCCAACCAAAUCUCUAGCCUAUGAGCCUAUGGGAAAGGCUUCAUAUCACAUCAUAAUAUGCAGCCUGACCCCAUCACCUUAGUAUAAGCCAUUAUAAUGUUUUACCUGGUUCGGCAAUAGCCUCCUAUUUCCACUUCAGCUCUCUUCCAAUUCAUUCUUUACAGUACCCAGAGUAAAUGCUAAAAAUGCUGGGGGAAAGCCUUUGCUCAGUGAGACCUAGCUGGGAUUAGUUCUUCUGCCCUGGGAUCCUGAGGCCAGAAAGCUGAGGACUUCCCUCCUGAAUGGGGCUACCCCAAUGGCAGUUUUCUAAUCCUAUGGAUUACCCAGGCACACACGCACACACACACACACACACACACACACACACACACACACACACACACAAAACCCAAACAUUUAGCAUGCCUCCCCAAGUUUCCAUGAGAGGAGAGGCAGUCUAGGGCUCUGUUCCUCCACUAAUUCUGGGACAUCAGCAGUUCUAUAAUGGGGCUCACCAUGCUGGCUGAACUGCCUGGACAGGCAAUGAUCACCCUGUCAAAUGAAAAGUUCACACAGACUAAUAAAUGCUCGAUGGGGCCCCACACACCAGACAGGAAGAUGUACUUAGGUGUCACAAGUAUACCCUUUUCAUUCAAGCUUCCAGUUGUCCUCAGGGCCCAAUGAGUGCAGGAGGCAAUCUACACUGUGCCACGCUCUCCUGAGGCAAUUGGACUCCCAUCUACGGUAGAAAAGGUUCAAAGGGGAAGGCCUGGGCCCUAGGCUCUUUGGCGCCCUGUGUGUGGGGUUGUAGGCUUCAGAGAGCUGUGUCAUGCCAAUCAACGCAUGCAAAGCAGCUUGGGGACCACAGUGGAACCUUCUUUAUCAGCACAUCGGAGGCACAAUAGAGAAAACCAUCAUUCCGAGAGACCGGCACUGCGCAGUUCUUUCUGUAACCUAAGGCAGCUGCGUAGUACCAUAGCAUCCCUAAAGAAAAGACAGUGAGAGGCCGAGAAGAGUUUAGGAAAAAAAAAAAAAAAGGCAGUUUCAUUUGGUUUGGUUCAGCAACCAGCAUCAGCCCCCAGGGGCUCUGCACCGCAUUCUCCACGGGCUGAAUGGGCAUGGAAGAAAACUCAGCCUCAUGGAAUGUAAGUGGCUACAGAGUUAGAAUAAAAUCCACUACGGUUGCUAUCGCAAUCCCCCCCCCAACUAAUGAAUUCUGGUUUGCUACAGGCUGCGACUCACUCUCUCAGAGCAUGCCCUCCCUAAGGAGGAGUUAUCUUUCUUUCCAGAUAACCUUCAGCGGUAGGGCUUUUCAAGGUGACUGAGGCCAUGAGGAUGUCUAAGAGGGCAAAGGUAGCACUUCCGGGACAAUAGGACUCCAUCUUUUCUCCACACACCCUGUUUUCAGAUUCGGGAUCAGUCUUUGGCUAUUGAAUCCUUUUGUGCAUGAUUCUGCAUGCUUCUUGCUUUUCUUCCUUUGAAUCUAUCAAACAAGUCACAACAAAUGCCAAUUGCUUUGACUGCUAGAGAAGUACUAGCGGUUCCCAGGGCCAGACACAAUGGGCUUGCCAGUGGCUGCUUCAGCUAACUGUUUAGACAUGGUGGGUCUUAGAUUUACAAGUUGAGAUUUGGAAGGGGGGCAAAGAAGGUUGGAAUAGCGUUUCUGGGGAGACACUGGAACGAUGAGGAAGCCGCUUAUAGUCAGAGGCAGAAUGUAAGUGAGGAUGUGGAGAAAUUGAAAUCCAUGUGUGCUUUUAUGGCAGGAAGUGUAAAUGAGGUAGCAGCUAUGGAAACAAUAUGAUGACUCCUUAAAACGUUCAAAAUAGCAUCACCCUUUGACCUAAAAAGUUCUCGUCUGGAUAUAAUAUAUUCAGGAAAAUGGAAAAUAGGGUCUUAAAGAGAUAAUAGUAUAGCCUUGUUCACAGUCACAUAUAAUUUAGACCAGCAAAAGAACAGAAGCAACCAAAUGAUCAAUAUAUGAGUAGAUAAAGUCAAUGCAGUAGACCAUCAAACGGAAUAUUACUCAGUCAUAAAAAGGACAGAACUAUGACACACCCUACAACAUCAUUGAAUCUUAAGAGUUUAUGCUAAAACACAAAAGGGCACAUAGUGCACGAUUCCAUUGAUAUGAAGUACCUAGCAUACUCUAAUGUAUAUAGACAGAAACUAGAGUGUCUGCCAAGGGCUAGGGGAAGGGGACACAGGAACUAUGUAAUAGGUAUGGAGUUUCAGUUUGGGAUGUUGGAAAAGUUCUGGAUAUAGUGCUGAUGGUUACAUAGCAGCAUGGAUGUGCUCAACACCUCCGAACUGUAUAUUUAAAAAUGGUUAAGAUAGUAAUUUUAUUAUGUUUAUCAUAUCAUUUAAAAAGUAUCAGUAAAAAGCCUGGGAGGUGCCUGAGUUGGCAGACUGAUCGACUUGCAUGCACAAACCACAUGCUCAAUCUCCAGCACUGUGUAAACUGGGCAUGGUGGGUGCAUGCCUGUAAUUCUGACACUUCUGUCUCCCCAGAAACGCUAUUCCAGCCUUCUUUGCCCCCUUCCAAAUCUCAACUUGUAAAUCUAAGACCCACCAAGGUAGAGGCAAGGGGUCAGGACCAGCUACACAGUGAGCUUUGAGUCCAGCUUGGGAUAUACAAGACCUUGUCUCCAAACAACACCAAAAGAUCAAAGGAUACCAAAGAUAAUAAAAAGAAGAAGAGGAAGAAUGCUUUCCAUAUCCACAGAGGGGCAGGGCCAGACAAUUAUGGUCCUUUCUGUGGACAGCAACCAGAGCUUUAGAGGGUUCGGUGUUUCAAAGAUCUGGUAGUGAGUUGACCCCAGACAUCUAGGGAAGCAAGAACUUCUCAGGAUUGCAGCAGGAAUGACCUGGCUUACAAGUCCUCACUUGACAUAAGCCCCAGGGUCAAUGAAGGUCACUCUGGCCAGGCUUCUGGAACCCUGCUGGCUACUGCCGAGUGUGACCAGUUUUACUGCCCUGUAGCUCUCCUAUGCAGCCAUGGAGAGGAUUUCCAACACGAUUGUCUUGUGUUCUAGUGAACAUUUAAAAAUCACAUCCACAAGCUCCUCUGUCUUUUGUGUGUAUGCUUGGUGUGGGGUCCUGAGCAUGUCUGGGCCUUGCAAAAACAGAACUUAAUGAGGUGAGUACUCUGAGCAGUGACCACUGUUGCUGGGUCUUUCUAGCUUUUACAGAGAAUUUCUCACCAUCACCCAGCCCAUGGCAAGAAUUUAGGAAAUCACACUCAACUCUUUAGUUGUUCUGGUGUCUAGCCUCAGCUAACACCUAUGUGUGAGCACUGAGAUGGUAUUUCACUGUAUAUUACUCCAAGAUGGUCUGGCCAGAAGAGCAUCAGCUUGAACUGGGAGCCGGUUAGAAAUCUAAAUUGCCAGCCCCAUCCCUGACCUCCUCCAUCAGAAUCUGCAUUCUGACUGGCUUCCCAGGUGAUUCCUAAGUACAGCAGACACUGAGCAAUCCUGCUCCAUGCUACCUGAGAGUCCCUACUCAUGGGCAUCAUCUGGGGUGCAUUAUCAGAGCAAAGUUCAAACUUCUUCCUAUGUGAGUCUGAUUUGAGAGAACCUUUUCUACCAUAGUGAAAGGAGAAACGGUGAGAUAAAAGACAUAAGAAAUUUGUAGGUCCCCCCCCCACACACACACCUGUGGACAGGCAAGGAAGAGACAGAUUCAAGCUUCUGAGACACAUGGAUACACACACACACACACACACACACACACACACACACACACACACACACACACACACACCUACACACACAGGCAUGACCACAGUGCCCAUGGUCACAUAUGAAAGACCUCCCUGGAAGGGAAACUACUAGACAUAAAGAGCAUUGACUGUCCUGUAUGUUCAUAAGUAAGUUGUAGCCAAUUGUGGGCAUACUCAGUAUUUCAGUUUAGCUUCGACCUUUGAGCAUCAUUGACUUUAUCUCCUGUGGGAGCAUCUCUAACAUAGUCCUGCUUUUUUACAUUAAAAGCAGCUUAUUUAAAAGAAAAAAAAACCCACUAAUCCAGUCAAGGUAGAAAGGCUUAAGGAGAACAAGGUUCCCUCAAGCAUGGAAGAGGCUGUUUUAAGACUAAAUUAGACCCGUGAAAAGCUCUUUGUACUCACUUGUACAAUUGCGUUCCGACUCUCCUUCUCCUGUGCUUUUCAAUGAAUAUAAAGUCUGAAAUCCAGGAGGAAGGAGCUUCUCCCCCUUCCACAUAAGCAUUUCAGUCUUGGUUUCUUGGAAACCCUUGAAGGCCUUGAUUCAUGAAUGAAUCCUAAUUUCACUUGCCUCCUGCUUGACGUAAGGCAGUGAUUCACCCCAAAUUGCACAAAAAUCAAGAACACAUAAACUGGAAGUUAGAUUUCUUAGUACGUGUUUCUCUUCUUUUGUUCCCAUUUAUGCCCAGCAGAAUGUUAUUUUACAACAACUCAGAAAGGCUUUCAGGCAGACACUUGUAAUGGAGAUUUAGGGACCUCAAAGAGCCAGAGGAGCAAAGGUAGACCAUGCAGACUUAUUUUAAAGACAACAUUAGACAGGGAAACUGACUAGCAAGAUGGUGGUGUGGUGGUGGUAUUUCUGUGUAGCAACUGCCAUCAAUGUAUGGGUCGGGUUUGGGACCUGCCAUAGCACAAUGAGAACAUAGACCGAACGGCAGUCCCAGGCUCUGUUCUCCACCCCAAGGGUCCCUCUUGGGUCAUGGCUGUGAUGGAAAGUCAAGGAGCAAGGUGACCGAAGAAGGUAUCUAGAAGAUCCCAACAUUCUCAUGACUCCUCUUACAGGGAAGGGGAAGUGGUCCCGGAAGAUGACGAAGGACAGGUGGGUGAGUGGAGUAUAGGAAGCUAAGAAGCCAAGGCCUCUCUCUUUUCCCAUAUAGGCACUGAUAAGCUUCAGGUUCCUGUUAAUUCCUUCUGAUCUGACAAGGCUGAAAUGUCCUUAGUAACUGAUAUUUUUAAAGCCCCUUAAGAGUCCCUGGUGGCAGGUAGUUGCUAUUUUAAAGCAUAAAAUUUUAGUUAAGGGAAUCAAUCAAUGAGUAAAUCAAUAUUUGUUUAGCAUCUGCAAUGGGCUUCACUUUACACCAGUUUGCAACAGCGUGCAAAGAUUAAGUAGAGCACGUGGGCUGCAACCAGAGAGAGGCUGUUUCUCUAAUACUCACGAGUAGGCUUUAGGAAUGAAAGAAUCUAAGUUCGAAUCUCUGUUCUAUGAAUUUGGAGAGCUGCCUUAUUUCCCCAUGCCUUAGUUUUAUUCCCUGGAAGUAAAAGCUAAUACUAUUUCAUGGGGGUUUUACAAGUAUUCAAUAUGUACAGUGUUUGUAACAUGUUUAGCUCAUCGUGAAAACUCAAUAGCGAGCAAUAAAGAACACAUUCCCUAGGGAAGCCAGAAAUCCUUCCUUCAUUUUUAAACAAAGAUAGUCCUGGAAGCUGACAAAGUAACUGAGCAUCUAGGCUUGCACCUUCCCAGUACUAGAGGGUUAUUUUGUAGUCUAGACAUUUUUUUGUUUUGUUCUGUCUGGUCUGUUUGGGAUGUGUUCUCACUACGCACAGAGAAGAGAGUGUGCGAUCUCUUGGAACGGGAGAGACAGUCAGUUGUGAAGCACCUAGGAUUGGGUCCUGGGAACUGAACUCAGGCUCUCUGGAAGAACAGCAAGAUCUCUUCGUCCUGCUGAACCAUCUCUCCAGCCCCUUUAAGUCUAAAGAGUUGAACAUGGGGUACAUGGACACACGCUCUGGGAAAUCUUCCUGAGGGAAGUGACUGGGGAAGCAUGGACCUAAAAAUCUAAGCUCUGGCUUAUGUAGCUGUGCCUGAGCCUUACAAGUCAGACCGAAGAUGGGUGGGCUCUGAGCUGUCUUCCACUCCAGCUAUCACCGUGUUCUUAACUAGAUCUUCAUACUUCAACUCUUAAAACACCAUGUCUGGUUAUGUACACCCUACUCCUUCAUCAUCUUCUGAUUUCACUCUUGGCUCUUAGGUCUUCCUGCUUUUUUUUUUUUUGGGUGCUUUUUAAAUCGCCUAAGUAGAGUGCAUAAUUUAUCUGCAACUAGGGCCAUCCAUUUAAAUGCAGAAUUUGAUGGGAAGAAGAGGGCAGCAGGAGACAGCAGAGGGCAUAAGACAAGGCCAGGGGAAGAUAAUUAUAAUCAAAGCUCAUUAUAUGCACAUAUAUAACAUCCUAACGAAACCCAAUUAUUUUGUACAAUUAAUACAUGCUAAUAAUUUUUUGUUUAAAGAAAAAGUGCAUAAUUUGAUCAUUUGUAAUGGUCUCUUACAGUAGGAAACCACGAAAGGCAUUCAAAGUAUACAAGCCUUCCAUUACCUGCAGCCCCCUGCAGUGUAAUGGAAGACUCCAUGGUCUCUUUGCAGUCAACUUUCUCACCUUCCUGGACAGCCACUGCCCAGCUUUCUAUAGGU
Molecule: long non-coding RNA, 20416 nt
Organism: Peromyscus californicus insignis
Lineage: Eukaryota; Metazoa; Chordata; Mammalia; Rodentia; Cricetidae
Exons: 7
Source: RefSeq, a predicted model, not a curated record